This 6126-nucleotide long non-coding RNA is filed under the name Brassica napus (rape). RNAcentral describes it as "long non-coding RNA (BNAP_LNC013302)". The record is from RNAcentral. Lineage: Eukaryota; Viridiplantae; Streptophyta; Magnoliopsida; Brassicales; Brassicaceae.
CUGUAAGUCUCCCACAGGAACUUAAACCAAGGGGUAACCAACUCACGGUCAGAUCUAUCUUUCCCCUUCUCUCCACUGACAAUACUCAGCUGCAAAUCUUCAGGCUUCCUAUCAGCUUCAAGGUCAUCAACAUCAAGUGCCUCCUCCAGAGCAUCAGCCUGAGAGCGAGCCUGCUCAGCUUUCUCGGUAGAAAGAUGCAGGAAAUGCUUGAUGACUUCCUCCAACGAGCUCACAUUCACUUGCUGGCAUACAAUACGGUACUGGAUCAACCCAUCUUUAGCGAACCGACCUCUCUUCAAGUCGACACAAAGGUCCAGGUACUUGAACAUGAUCUUCUCGAGCGGCUUCUGCCACGCUCUGUACCUCUUGGAGGUGAUGAGGUCGUGAAGUGCCUGAAGGGCAUCUUGUUUCUGUCCAACAUUGAUCAACUCUGCAAACACACCAAAUGUCAUUUCACUAACCCUGUAACCAAAUCCAUGGGCACUAAAUGGAACUUACCAUCAGCACGCUUCAAUGCGUUCUCAGGUUUGGCAAAAUGCGCCAUGUUUUUCAGACAAGCUCACACGGAAAGGAUACUCUCAGCUUUGUUCUGAACAAAUCAAUAAGCAUAAAACUGAUUCAAAGAGAGCUUUUUUUUUUGCCCAAACCCUAAAUUCAAUCUCUUUCAAUCAGAAAACACGAAAGAUUCGAUAAACUGAUGUAAAAUCUAGACUAGAUGAGUUCGAUGAGAUCCGUCGGACAAGAAAGAGCAGAGAUCUAAUCACUGUCGUUUUCUGAAACAGAACACGAAGCUUGUAACUAACCUGGUCCGCCGUGAUGAUGAGAGUGUUGUUUGAGAGGAAAUGGAAGCAGCGAGACUAGGGUUUCUUGUAUUGGAUAUGAUUGUAUUUUGCAAAUAACACCAGAAUCUUCGAUCUUUUUCUAAAUUACCCCCGUUUAACUUUUUAGUGUUUAUAAAACCCAAUUAUCUACGGAUGUCCAUUUUCUACAUAGUUGGUGUUAUGCAUUUCAACUUUGUCAAAUUUUAUCAUCAUGUUAUUAAGUUAGAUAAAUAUAAUCAGAACCAACAAAAAACACUAUAAUAUGAGAAAUAUGAGGAGGUCAUUAGAUGUAUCUAGCCUAGAGAUGUUAAAAUAGGUGAAUCCUUCCCACGUAAACCAUCCCAUUUAAACCCGGAACCUUUUAGAGCAAUUUUGGUUUUAUAGUUUCAUAGGGUAAAUCCAUUUGGACCUAUGACUAUUACUUUCGCCAUUUUGAUCAGUUUAGAGUUAUAACUAAUUUUUAUUGAUAUUUAUGAUGUAAAACUAUUUUGAAUAAAAAUUAAUUGUACAAAUCUUUUUUAAGAAAAUUAAGAGUGUUUAAAAAAAAAAAAAAUGUUUGAGUUAAUUUGUUGAUUUGUUUUCUUUCUGGAAAUUGAAUUUUAACAAAAAAAAGUUGAAAAAUGAUUAGAAAAGUUAUAAUUUCUUUUGUUUUUAUUUUAUUUUUGACAAAAGGUUUUAAUUACUUUUAUCUAGUAUUGUAUUUAGUUAAAUAUAUUUAGAUAAACAAAUUAACAUGAUCCCCAUCAAUGUUUUACUAAAGUUACCUAAUUGCUAUCUAUUUAAAACCCAUCAAACUAAAUAAGUUUAAAUGAAAACACACAUUUUAAACCCACUAAAUACAUUUGGUCUCUUUUCAUAUCUCUAAAAACAUAUCUCUAAGAAUCUCUCCUCCUUGAGAUUAAUUUUACUUUUUCUGGUGAUUGGCUAUGGUGGCUUAUUUAGCACCGGAGCCGGUUUCUCUUUUUGUUUCUCUUCAUAUAUUGUUAAGUCUCUGUCAAAGUCGGGAUUCAAUCCGUUUUUCAGGUAGAUGUACUGAAUUUUCUUAAUCGAUGAUGUGGUUCAUCUACUUAUACAUCUUGUCAUCAAUCUGGAUCGAGAUCUUUUGAGUGGAUUCCUCUCUCGUCUUUGUUUUGUCCACCGUUUCUUUUGUUGUUAGCGUUGAUUUGUGUUUGUGAGGGCUCUUUCACCUACUUUCAUGUCCUUGUUUUUUUUGGCGGCCGUUCUGGAUUCACUAUAGUUUCGAUCUUCUUCUAAUAUGGGCUCUGGAUUAGCUUUAUCUGGUGUGAAUCGAAUUGCUCCAUUUUAUUUUCCAAGAGAUCUUGUCGAGUCUCGCAUUUUUCGUUGUGGCUUCGUUCAAGGCGUUUCUCCGGUCUUUCUACUGCUUCCUUCACCGUCUCCAAGUAUGAAUCAUGUUACAGUCACUUUUAAAAACCUAAAUACAGUAUAGUCUAAAACACGAAAAGUACAUAUUUGCAAAUAAUUAAAAACUUUGGGCCAAUUUUCAAUUUCUUGAAACUUGUUAAAAACUCGUCUAGAAGUGUUGUUAGUGGAUUGGUGUCGACCGACACCAAUGGAUGGUAUCGAUCGACACCAUGUCCAAAGCUUAAAUCUUGAAGUGUUCUCUUCGGCUACAAUUUUCUUUAUGUUCCAAGAUGCUCCAGAAUCUUCAAUUUUGUCCAAAAUAUAUCUAAACCUCUAAUAACUCAAAGAGACUCGAAAUACCAAAAAGAUACUAAAACCGGACUUGUUUCAUCGUCCAUAACAAGCAUUAUGUAUCAACCAGACAUGUUAAUAAUAUUUCAGAUGGUUACCAAUUAGUUCUAUCUUUUUUUUUUGAAAGAAUGCUAAAUUUAUUCAUCAAAAAAACCUGUUUACAUCAAGUGGUUCUUUGGUUUAAAAAAUUGCUACUCCUACUCCUUUACCUUCCCCUUCCCCUUUACAGAAACCCAAAACUCAGGAAUCUAUCACCUAGCAAAACUGUCUACCAUAUUUACAGCCUUAUACUAAAACAGUAUUGCAAGAUAUGACCUUUAACUCGUUUGGAUUGUAGUAGGCUUAGCUUGUUACGGAUAGCUUUGUCAGUGAGUUUAGACAGCACCUGCAGUGGAAGAGCCCUUUCACCGUGUCGCCGCUUGUUUCGUUCUCUCCACAGCUUAUACAGAAUAGUUUGAAAUGCGUAUCUGAGACAGAACCUUUUCUGUUUUUCCAUGCCUGGAGUAAUGAUCAACCUCACAACUGCAUCCCAAUUAGUGGAGAAGGAGCUAUGCAGAAACCCCCUCGUAAGAUGUUCCCAAAGUUGAGAUGAGAAGGAACAAUCAAAGAAGAGAUGGUUUCUGGAUUCUGGUGCGUUAUUACAUAGAACGCAUGUAGUGUCUACCCCUUGACACCAACCAGAAACACGAUCCAUAGUAGCUAACCUGUCCUUCAUUGCGAUCCAAGCCAUGAAAGCGAAUUUUGGCGUAGCCUGAGAGAACCAAAUACCACUACCCCAAGUAGACGGCACCCCAGCUUCUCUUGCCAGCUGUCAUGUCUUAUAGGUUGUGAACUUUAGUUUAUAACCUGAGUUCCUUCUCCACAAGGCAACAUCCUUAUCUGUGUUACACUGCUACCGUUUAGUGUUCUCCAACUCCUUUUCAAUAUCAUUUAAGAGUGCUCUUAUGUGCCUUUUCCUCCUCCUAUGAUUAUGAAAAGCCUCCUCCACUGUGGCUUCUCUUUGAAUUCCCAAAUCGAUAGUUCCUCUUUCCUCAAGCAAAUCAAACAUCACCCCUUUAUUAGACCAGCUAUCGUACCAGAAGGAUGUAUGGUGCCCAUUCCCCACUUCUUUCAUAUAGAACGUUUUAGCUAUACUUCUUGGUUUGAGCAUCUUCCUCCAAAUCCAAGAUCCAACUUGGGUGUUUUCAUUGACUUGCCAAAAGCUCUUCUUUUUAAGCAAGUUAGUUUUAAUCCAUCUGCCCCAAAGAGAGUCAUCAGCCAGCAUUCUCUAGAUUAGCUUCAGACCAUAAACAAAAGCGUCUUUUUCUUUCCCUUUUUCAUGCGUUUCUCUGUGUCCUCCAGCAACGCCUGAGCUUCCUCAAGUUCCUUCUCCUCUAUCUCUCUAAGGAUUCUUUGUUUCCUUCUCUCCAGAAGCUCUGCCGCAAGUCUCUUUUGCUCUGCCUCCUCAGUUAGCUUCUGAAGCUUAAGCCGUUUCUGUUCCUCCUCACGUUCCAUUUCUAGUUGCUGACGCUCUUGAUCCUCUUUCCUCUUUUCAAUGAUUGAUUUCCGAGCAAGCAGUCUCUUGUGCUCCUUCUCAACAGUUUCUGCUAGGUUCGGUACAAUGCCACCUAGUUUUGAUGCUUUACUUGGGACAGGAUACAGCAUAGCUCUAACUUUGUUCAAAGACUCAGCAAAAACAGCCAGAUGAUCCUUCAGUCCAUCAGACUCAAUCCCCUGAUUGAAAAAAGUUGAUUAUAUCUACCAAAGGAGUCGAAUAGUUAAAGAGUUAUAUCACUAAAGCAUCAACAGUGGCUUACCAAAUUGCCAAAAAUAACAACACCCUUCAUGUGAUCAACUUUCAUGGCAACAAAGUUGUUCUUCACAGCAUCAACAGAUAUCUUCUCUACCACUGAGAAUUCAAAGAAGGGGACCAACUGAGAUAAACUCUCAAUUCGUAUAGUCUGAUAGAUCUUAGACACCUGAUUAAAAAUAAACAAUCAGCAUAAACCACAAGACCAAUCCAAAAUGGUUGAAUGGAUAUUAAACCCAACAAAGUAGAGAACAAAGAGCAUUCUUUACCUGUUGAAGUAGCCUCAGAGUAGCAAGCUUCUCCAAAGAAGGAACAUACUGGGAGAGUUGCACUUCUGGCAAAGAAGGAGCUGAUGAAAGCUUCCCACCAGAUUUGGAAAUCUUUUCCAGCAACGGCUGAAUCUUGGAGCCAAGAUCAAGUGGGUGAAACUCAUGCUCCAAAACAUGGAAAAGAUCUUUGACCUCCUGUGAUGCACAGCUCAAAACACCUCUUGAAACCUAAAUGUACAGAAACAUCAAAAUCAGAUGCCUGUAAGGAUAUCAGCAAUGUGAUGUGGCUGCUAGAGACUCACCAGCUCUGACAGAAGAGCUGACCUUGAAAGCUGUAAAAGAAAUGCAUUGAAUUAGAAAUAUUAAAAAAAAUGGAAUAUACAAAACAGUAAAGUAACAUCAGAGCCUAUGUUACCAUAUCUCUGCCCUCAAAUUUAGGUUCAAGAUUGAAACCAAUGAGGUUGGCCAUCCUCAAAUUGCGUUCUUUCUCGUUUUCAAGCUCCAUAUGGGAUGCACUCUGAGUUCUAUCAAACGGCGGAACAGAUAACGCCGCCAAGACAACAGAAGAUGCUAUUAGCUGCAAAUCCUUUUGGCUCAAGUUCUUGUUGAAAUUUUUCUGCAGACUAAACAGCUUGAACCAUGCAUAAGCAUGGUACAGAUGGCUAGAAGAAAUCCAGAAGAUCUCAGUCAAUUUGGAAUAGUAGACCAUCAACAAAGAUGACUUGGGCGUUUUCUUGACCAUGCACAUUAAUCCAUAUAUAUCUUCAACAGAACGGAAAGCUUCCUAAAAUAAAUAAAAAAUGGAUACAUCAACAAAGCUUUCUCUAACUUGUUACUAGGGAAUGAAGGAGAAGACAGAACAAGUAGAAACAAAACACACCUGCCAAAGUCCAAGCUCAGUAGCAACUUUCAGCUGAUCAAAUCUUGUGUCCAGGUAAAGCUGCAAGCUCUCUGGGGCUGACAAGUCAGGCCUGUCCCUUUGGUCUCUGUACUUGUUCAGGUUUGCCAAAUGGUUUCUAAUGAUUUCACAAAGCCUGCGGAACUCGGUUGUUCGCUUGUACUGCUUACAGAACUGGAAGGCCUUAUGUGCUGUCAUCUACAAGAGAAUAAGUGUACUUAGAUCUUAUUCAACUAAUAUCACAAGAAUCUAAUAAGCUUAACUAACCGCAUAAAGCGCUUCCAACUUUGAGUUGUUACGCAAUAUCUCAAGCACAGUCCUGUAAGUCUCCCACAGGAACUUAAACCAAGGGGUAACCAACUCACGGUCAGAUCUAUCUUUCCCCUUCUCUCCACUGACAAUACUCAGCUGCAAAUCUUCAGGCUUCCUGUCAGCCUCAAGGUCAUCGACAUCAAGUGCCUCCUCCAGAGCAUCAGCCUGAGAGCGAGCCUGCUCAGCCUUCUCGGUAGAAAGAUGCAGGAAGUGCUUGAUGACUUCCUCCAACGAGCUCACAUUCACUUGCUGGCAAACGAUACGGUACUGGAUCAACCCAUCUUUAGCGAACCGACCUCUCUUCAAGUCGACACAAAGGUCCAG